UAUGUAGGGUGCGAGCGUUAAUCGGAAUUACUGGGCGUAAAGCGUGCGCAGGCGGUUCGCCAAGUCAGGUGUGAAAUCCCCGGGCUUAACCUGGGAAUUGCGCUUGAAACUGUCUGGCUAGAGUGUGGGAGAGGGAAGUGGAAUUCCUGGUGUAGCGGUGAAAUGCGUAGAUAUCGGGAGGAACACCUGAGGCGAAGGCGGGCUACUGGGCCGAUACUGACGCUGAUGUGCGAAAGCCAGGGGAGCGAACGGG
RNAcentral lists this ribosomal RNA (253 nucleotides) under uncultured prokaryote. RNAcentral's name for it is "partial 16S ribosomal RNA". It matches the Rfam family "Bacterial small subunit ribosomal RNA", at positions 524 to 776 of the family's 1533-position model. The record is from RNAcentral.